CCUACGGGUGGCAGCAGUGGGGAAUAUUGGGCAAUGGAGGAAACUCUGACCCAGCAACGCCGCGUGAAGGAUGAAGGUUUUCGGCUUGUAAACUUCUGUCGCGAGGGACGACGAAUGACGGUACUUCGUACGAACGCCGCGGCAAACUACGUGCCAGCAGCCGCGGUAAUCUGUAGGGGGCGAGCGUUGUCCGGAAUGACUGGGCGUAAAGGGAGUGUAGGCGGGUCUUUAAGGUAUAUGUGAAAUCAGGCGGCUCAACCGUAGAAGUGCAUUUAAACCUGGGGAGCUGGAGGGCAGAAGAGGCGAGUGGAAUUCCAAGUGUAGCGGUGGAAUGCGUAGAUAUUAGGAAGAACACCAGGGGCGAAGGCGGCUCACUGGACUGUAACUGACGCUGAGGCUCGAAAGCAUGGGGAGCAAACAGGAUUAGAUACCCGAGUAGUC
RNAcentral lists this ribosomal RNA (441 nucleotides) under uncultured bacterium. Its description in RNAcentral is "partial 16S ribosomal RNA". It matches the Rfam family "Bacterial small subunit ribosomal RNA", at positions 338 to 795 of the family's 1533-position model. The record is from RNAcentral.